Molecule: signal recognition particle RNA, 259 nt
Filed under: chicken gut metagenome
Description: Bacterial large signal recognition particle RNA
Rfam family: Bacterial large signal recognition particle RNA
About the family: The signal recognition particle (SRP) is a universally conserved ribonucleoprotein involved in the co-translational targeting of proteins to membranes. Archaeal SRP consists of a 7S RNA and homologues of the eukaryotic SRP19 and SRP54 proteins.
Source: RNAcentral
UGCAGCCGGGGAGAUAGCGGUGCCCUGUACCUGCAAUCCGCUACAGCAGGGGUGAUGUCUUUGCCGAGGGUUAUUUCUUGUAGAGCUGCCCUGUAUAAGCGGCGUUGAAGCCUGGGUCUUGCGCAACAAGACCCCGUGAACCGUGUCAGGUCAGGAAUGGAGCAGCACUAAGCGGGACAUCUUGUGUGCCGCGAGGCAGCCUGGGCCGAGUUGGCUGUACAGGUAACGUUUAUGAGAGUAACUCGAAGCAGGACGCACG